AGGGAAUCUUCGGCAAUGGACGGAAGUCUGACCGAGCAACGCCGCGUGAGUGAAGAAGGUUUUCGGAUCGUAAAGCUCUGUUGUAAGAGAAGAACGAGUGUGAGAGUGGAAAGUUCACGCUGUGACGGUAUCUUACCAGAAAGGGACGGCUAACUACGUGCCAGCAGCCGCGGUAAUACGUAGGUCCCGAGCGUUGUCCGGAUUUAUUGGGCGUAAAGCGAGCGCAGGCGGUUAGAUAAGUCUGAAGUUAAAGGCUGUGGCUUAACCAUAGUACGCUUUGGAAACUGUUUAACUUGAGUGCAAGAGGGGAGAGUGGAAUUCCAUGUGUAGCGGUGAAAUGCGUAGAUAUAUGGAGGAACACCGGUGGCGAAAGCGGCUCUCUGGCUUGUAACUGACGCUGAGGCUCGAAAGCGUGGGGAGCAAACAGGAUUAGAUACCCUGGUAGUCCACGCCGUAAACGAUGAGUGCUAGGUGUUAGACCCUUUCCGGGGUUUAGUGCCGCAGCUAACGCAUUAAGCACUCCGCCUGGGGAGUACGACCGCAAGGUUG
RNAcentral lists this ribosomal RNA (549 nucleotides) under uncultured bacterium. Its description in RNAcentral is "bacterial SSU rRNA". It matches the Rfam family "Bacterial small subunit ribosomal RNA", at positions 356 to 896 of the family's 1533-position model. The record is from RNAcentral.